RNAcentral lists this ribosomal RNA (484 nucleotides) under uncultured bacterium. RNAcentral's name for it is "partial 16S ribosomal RNA". It matches the Rfam family "Bacterial small subunit ribosomal RNA", at positions 30 to 507 of the family's 1533-position model. The record is from RNAcentral.
AUUGAACGCUGGCGGCAGGCCUAACACAUGCAAGUCGAGCGGAUGAAGGGAGCUUGCUCCUGGAUUCAGCGGCGGACGGGUGAGUAAUGCCUAGGAAUCUGCCUGGUAGUGGGGGAUAACGUCCGGAAACGGGCGCUAUUACCGCAUACGUCCUGAGGGACAAAGUGGGGGAUCUUCGGACCUCACGCUAUCAGAUGAGCCUAGGUCGGAUUAGCUAGUUGGUGGGGUAAAGGCCUACCAAGGCGACGAUCCGUAACUGGUCUGAGAGGAUGAUCAGUCACACUGGAACUGAGACACGGUCCAGACUCCUACGGGAGGCAGCAGUGGGGAAUAUUGGACAAUGGGCGAAAGCCUGAUCCAGCCAUGCCGCGUGUGUGAAGAAGGUCUUCGGAUUGUAAAGCACUUUAAGUUGGGAGGAAGGGCAGUAAGUUAAUACCUUGCUGUUUUGACGUUACCAACAGAAUAAGCACCGGCUAACUUCGUG